RNAcentral lists this ribosomal RNA (415 nucleotides) under Paraburkholderia tropica. RNAcentral describes it as "bacterial SSU rRNA". It matches the Rfam family "Bacterial small subunit ribosomal RNA", at positions 954 to 1370 of the family's 1533-position model. The record is from RNAcentral. Lineage: Bacteria; Pseudomonadati; Pseudomonadota; Betaproteobacteria; Burkholderiales; Burkholderiaceae.
AACUAACGCGAAGAUCCUUACCUACCCUUGACAUGUACGGAAUUCCGCUGAGAGGUGGAAGUGCCCGAAAGGGAGCCGUAACACAGGUGCUGCAUGGCUGUCGUCAGCUCGUGUCGUGAGAUGUUGGGUUAAGUCCCGCAACGAGCGCAACCCUUGUCCCUAGUUGCUACGCAAGAGCACUCCAGGGAGACUGCCGGUGACAAACCGGAGGAAGGUGGGGAUGACGUCAAGUCCUCAUGGCCCUUAUGGGUAGGGCUUCACACGUCAUACAAUGGUCGGAACAGAGGGUUGCCAAGCCGCGAGGUGGAGCCAAUCCCAGAAAACCGAUCGUAGUCCGGAUCGCAGUCUGCAACUCGACUGCGUGAAGCUGGAAUCGCUAGUAAUCGCGGAUCAGCAUGCCGCGGGAAUUCGACUU